CACGGAGUUAGCCGGUGCUUCUUCUGCGGGUAACGUCAAUUGCUGUGGUUAUUAACCACAACACCUUCCUCCCCGCUGAAAGUACUUUAUAACCCGAAGGCCUUCUUCAUACACGCGGCAUGGCUGCAUCAGGCUUGCGCCCAUUGUGCAAUAUUCCCCA
This 160-nucleotide ribosomal RNA is filed under the name uncultured bacterium. Its description in RNAcentral is "partial 16S ribosomal RNA". The record is from RNAcentral.